This 77-nucleotide transfer RNA is filed under the name Gastrodia kachinensis. RNAcentral describes it as "tRNA-Gln". The stretch from base 4 to 60 matches the Rfam family "tRNA", at positions 8 to 63 of the family's 71-position model. From Rfam's summary of the family: Transfer RNA (tRNA) molecules are approximately 80 nucleotides in length. Their secondary structure includes four short double-helical elements and three loops (D, anti-codon, and T loops). The record is from RNAcentral. Lineage: Eukaryota; Viridiplantae; Streptophyta; Magnoliopsida; Asparagales; Orchidaceae.
GCAUGGCCAAGUGGUAUGGCAACGGUUUUUGAUCCCGUUAAUCGGAGGUUCGAAUCCUUCCAGUCCAUCAGAAACGA